UGAUUGUGGAUCUGCGAUGAGAACCUUUC
RNAcentral lists this non-coding RNA (29 nucleotides) under Homo sapiens (human). Lineage: Eukaryota; Metazoa; Chordata; Mammalia; Primates; Hominidae. The record is from RNAcentral.